UGUGUUAUGGAUGUAGUACUAUGUUCAGGUAGUUAUGUUAUGGAUGUAGAUCUAUGUUCAGGUAGUUAUGUUAUGUAUGUUAUGGAUGUAGUACUAUGUUCAGGUAGUUGUGUUAUGGAUGUAGUACUAUGUUCUGUUAGUUGUGUUAUGGAUGUAGUACUAUGUUCAGGUAGUUAUGUUAUGGAUGUAGUUCUUUGUUCAGUUAGUUGUGUUAUGGAUGUAGUACUAUGUUCAGGUAGUUGUGUUAUGGAUGUUAUGGAUGUAGUUCUAUGUUCAGGUAGUUAUGUUAUGGAUGUUAUGGAUGUAGUACUAUGUUCAGGUAGUUAUGUUAUGGAUGUUAUGGAUGUAGUUCUAUGUUCAGUUAGUUGUGUUAUGGAUGUAGUACUAUGUUCUGUUAGUUGUGUUAUGGAUGUAGUACUAUGUUCAGGUAGUUAUGUUAUGGAUGUAGAUCUAUGUUCAGGUAGUUAUGUUAUGUAUGUUAUGGAUGUAGUACUAUGUUCAGGUAGUUGUGUUAUGGAUGUAGUACUAUGUUCUGUUAGUUGUGUUAUGGAUGUAGUACUAUGUUCAGGUAGUUAUGUUAUGGAUGUAGUUCUUUGUUCAGGGUAUGUUCUGUUAUUUAUUACUGUCAGAAUAUCACUGUUUCCCGGAAGCAACACAGUAACAGGACUAUCUUCAGGGUCCCUCCAUGAGUCAGAUCUGGCUUCAAUACUACUAGAUGUAAUUAAAAAUACUUUAUCUGGG
Oncorhynchus nerka (sockeye salmon) is the source of this 741-nucleotide long non-coding RNA. RefSeq lists it as uncharacterized. The transcript is spliced from 2 exons. The record is from RefSeq and is a predicted model, not a curated record. Lineage: Eukaryota; Metazoa; Chordata; Actinopteri; Salmoniformes; Salmonidae.